Molecule: long non-coding RNA, 1025 nt
Filed under: Nicotiana tabacum (common tobacco)
Lineage: Eukaryota; Viridiplantae; Streptophyta; Magnoliopsida; Solanales; Solanaceae
Description: long non-coding RNA (NTAB_LNC001473)
Source: RNAcentral
AAAUCUUAGACAUUAAUUCAUCCUUUGGCCGCUAUCCCUAUAAAUAUCUCAACAAAGUAGUAGCUUUAGUUCAUUAGUUGUUUGUGCUUCACUAGUCAUCUAAACAAAACCAAACACCUUUCCUUUGGCCUCUCCUCCUUUUAUCUUUUAUAUCAAUCCUCAUCUUCAAUAACACCACUCUCAAAACAAAUGAGAAACUUAUUCCCCAUAUUUAUGUUAAUCACCAAUCUAGCAUUCAACGACAACAACAACAGUAAUAAUAUCAUCAACACGACCUGCAGAGCCACCACAAACUACCCCUUGUGCCUCACCACCCUCCACUCUGAUCCCCGUACCUCCGAGGCCGAGGGGGCGGACCUCACCACCCUCGGCCUCGUCAUGGUAGAUGCGGUAAAAUUAAAGUCCAUCGAAAUAAUGAAAAGUAUAAAAAAACUCGAAAAAUCGAACCCCGAGUUGAGACUACCUCUUAGCCAAUGUUACAUAGUGUAUUAUGCUGUUCUACAUGCUGAUGUAACUGUUGCUGUUGAAGCUUUAAAAAGAGGAGUCCCUAAAUUUGCUGAAAAUGGAAUGGUUGAUGUUGCUGUAGAAGCAGAAACUUGUGAGUUUAGUUUUAAGUAUAAUGGAUUGGUUUCUCCAGUUUCUGAUAUGAAUAAGGAGAUUAUUGAACUGUCUUCUGUGGCUAAAUCUAUUAUUAGAAUGCUAUUAUGAGGAAAUUAAAGAACCAAAGAUACAAGGUUCUGGUUAUGUUAGUUUAUUAGUGCUGUAAUAGGAUUUUUAUAUUCCUGUGUUUUUUUUGCUUUUUUUAUUUCAUUUGGGUGCUUGUGUGUAUAUGUGAAAAUGAGUGUGAAUUAUGUCAAACAUAAACAUAGAUUAGAAAUUACUCCUGCAUAAUUAUGUACAGUUUUUUAUAUUUAAGUGUAUUUAUCUCUUUUCUUUGAGUGUGUGGGUGUGCGUAAGCGAGUGUGAUCUUUAUUAUACUUAGAAAUUUAGAAUUUAAGAGGGGAGCUUUGGAGCAACUAUAAAGU